GCAGCCUGAUCUAGCGAUGCCGCGUGAGUGACGAAGGUCUUAGGAUCGUAAAGCUCUUUCGCCAGGGAUGAUAAUGACAGUACCUGGUAAAGAAACCCCGGCUAACUCCGUGCCAGCAGCCGCGGUAAUACGGAGGGGGUUAGCGUUGUUCGGAAUUACUGGGCGUAAAGCGUACGUAGGCGGAUCAGAAAGUUGGGGGUGAAAUCCCAGGGCUCAACCCUGGAACUGCCUCCAAAACUAUUGGUCUAGAGUUCGAGAGAGGUAAGUGGAAUUCCGAGUGUAGAGGUGAAAUUCGUAGAUAUUCGGAGGAACACCAGUGGCGAAGGCGGCUUACUGGCUCGAUACUGACGCUGAGGUACGAAAGUGUGGGGAGCAAACAGGAUUAGAUACCCUGGUAGUCCACACCGUAAACGAUGAAUGCCAGUCGUCAGAGGGCUUGCCCUUUGGUGACACACCUAACGGAUUAAGCAUUCCGCCUGGGGAGUACGGUCGCAAGAUUAAAACUCA
This 507-nucleotide ribosomal RNA is filed under the name Loktanella sp. RNAcentral's name for it is "bacterial SSU rRNA". It matches the Rfam family "Bacterial small subunit ribosomal RNA", at positions 378 to 903 of the family's 1533-position model. The record is from RNAcentral. Lineage: Bacteria; Pseudomonadati; Pseudomonadota; Alphaproteobacteria; Rhodobacterales; Roseobacteraceae.